Molecule: long non-coding RNA, 542 nt
Filed under: Erythranthe guttata (spotted monkey flower)
Lineage: Eukaryota; Viridiplantae; Streptophyta; Magnoliopsida; Lamiales; Phrymaceae
Description: long non-coding RNA (EGUT_LNC003537)
Source: RNAcentral
CGACAUUACAGUCGCAUAUCCAUCGAGAAAGGGCUAUAUCUCCACCGAUCAUGUGUUGAAUCCGAAAGUUGUGAGGGUGAUUUGUUCUAUCGCCGCCGUCUUAACCACUCCCCAACUUCUACAUGCCAAUCACUCUCAGGUGAAGAAAGGACGCAAAUCACUUACGUCAACCGCCAAUUACCACUCUGCCACAUCAGAUCGCCGCUACGGAUGCCUAAAAUGGUUUAAGAGAAAAUAAAUAUAAAAAAUCAACUACACUCCACAAUAUAUCGAAAAUCAACUACAAACCACAUUUUUAUCGAAAAUCAUGAAUACAGAUCUGAACCGAAUCUGAAAAUUCGAUCUAAAAUUGGCUACAGAUAGGAUGAAUUAACAGCUUUGCUCUGAUGAGUUCUCGAAACAUAAGUUGUCGGUGUUUUUUAUUACCGGUUUCAUCCUCGGGCUGAAUGAAUCGGCAAGAGCCGCGACUCGAGGCAAUCUGAGAGAGAUUGUUGCCUAUUGAAUGACGGCUUCUGGUAUUUGGAGAGACUCAAAAACAGUAA